Molecule: ribosomal RNA, 1433 nt
Filed under: Drosophila simulans
Lineage: Eukaryota; Metazoa; Arthropoda; Insecta; Diptera; Drosophilidae
Description: eukaryotic LSU rRNA
Rfam family: Eukaryotic large subunit ribosomal RNA
Source: RNAcentral
CCCAGUGGGCAACUUUGGUAAGCAGAACUGGCGCUGUGGAAUGAACCCAACGGUAAUGUUACGGUGCCCAAAUUAACAACUCAUGCAGAUACAUGAAAGGCGUUGUUGCUUAAAACAGCAGGACGGUGAUCAUGGAAGUCGAAAUCCGCUAAGGAGUGUGUAACAACUCACCUGCCCGAAGCAACUAGCCCUUUAAAAUGGAUGGCGCUUAAGUUGUAUACCUAUACAUUACCGCUAAAGUAGAUGAUUUAUAUUACUUGUGAUAUAAAUUUUGAAACUUUAGUGAGUAGGAAGGUACAAUGGUAUGCGUAGAAGUGUUUGGCGUAAGCCUGCAUGGAGCUGCCAUUGGUACAGAUCUUGGUGGUAGUAGCAAAUAAUCGAAUGAGACCUUGGAGGACUGAAGUGGAGAAGGGUUUCGUGUGAACAGUGGUUGAUCACGAGUUAGUCGGUCCUAAGUUCAAGGCGAAAGCCGAAAAUUUUCAAGUAAAACAAAAAUGCCUAACUAUAUAAACAAAGCGAAUAUAAUACACUUGAAUAAUUUUGAACGAAAGGGAAUACGGUUCCAAUUCCGUAACCUGUUGAGUAUCCGUUUGUUAUUAAAUAUGGGCCUCGUGCUCAUCCUGGCAACAGGAACGACCAUAAAGAAGCCGUCGAGAGAUAUCGGAAGAGUUUUCUUUUCUGUUUUAUAGCCGUACUACCAUGGAAGUCUUUCGCAGAGAGAUAUGGUAGAUGGGCUAGAAGAGCAUGACAUAUACUGUUGUGUCGAUAUUUUCUCCUCGGACCUUGAAAAUUUAUGGUGGGGACACGCAAACUUCUCAACAGGCCGUACCAAUAUCCGCAGCUGGUCUCCAAGGUGAAGAGUCUCUAGUCGAUAGAAUAAUGUAGGUAAGGGAAGUCGGCAAAUUAGAUCCGUAACUUCGGGAUAAGGAUUGGCUCUGAAGAUUGAGAUAGUCGGGCUUGAUUGGGAAACAAUAACAUGGUUUAUGUGCUCGUUCUGGGUAAAUAGAGUUUCUAGCAUUUAUGUUAGUUACUUGUUCCCCGGAUAGUUUAGUUACGUAGCCAAUUGUGGAACUUUCUUGCUAAAAUUUUUAAGAAUACUAUUUGGGUUAAACCAAUUAGUUCUUAUCAAUUAUAACGAUUAUCAAUUAACAAUCAAUUCAGAACUGGCACGGACUUGGGGAAUCCGACUGUCUAAUUAAAACAAAGCAUUGUGAUGGCCCUAGCGGGUGUUGACACAAUGUGAUUUCUGCCCAGUGCUCUGAAUGUCAAAGUGAAGAAAUUCAAGUAAGCGCGGGUCAACGGCGGGAGUAACUAUGACUCUCUUAAGGUAGCCAAAUGCCUCGUCAUCUAAUUAGUGACGCGCAUGAAUGGAUUAACGAGAUUCCUACUGUCCCUAUCUACUAUCUAGCGAAACCACAGCCAAGGGAACGGGC